CCCUUAGAUGUUCUGGGCCGCACGCGUGCUACACUGAGUAAUUCAAUGGGUAAGGGAACGCUAGAGCAUUACCUAAUCUUGAAAUUUGCUCGUGAUGGGGAUCGACGGUUGCAAUUUUCCGUCGUGAACGAGGAAUACCUUGUAGGCGCAUGUCAUCAUCAUGCGCCGAAUACGUCCCUGCCCUUUGUACACGCCGCCCGUCGCUCCUACCGAUUGAGUGAUCCGGUGAGGCUCUGGGACCUGGACGGAAAGAGCGUUUCGCUUGUUCUGUUUGGGAAACUUGGUCGAACCUUAUCAUUUAGAGGAAGGAGAAGUCGUAACA
This 322-nucleotide ribosomal RNA is filed under the name uncultured eukaryote. Its description in RNAcentral is "partial 18S ribosomal RNA". It matches the Rfam family "Eukaryotic small subunit ribosomal RNA", at positions 1470 to 1796 of the family's 1831-position model. The record is from RNAcentral.